Molecule: transfer RNA, 69 nt
Filed under: Urocitellus parryii (Arctic ground squirrel)
Lineage: Eukaryota; Metazoa; Chordata; Mammalia; Rodentia; Sciuridae
Also listed under: 1 other name
Description: Spermophilus parryii (Arctic ground squirrel) tRNA
Rfam family: tRNA
About the family: Transfer RNA (tRNA) molecules are approximately 80 nucleotides in length. Their secondary structure includes four short double-helical elements and three loops (D, anti-codon, and T loops). Further hydrogen bonds mediate the characteristic L-shaped molecular structure. tRNAs have two regions of fundamental functional importance: the anti-codon, which is responsible for specific mRNA codon recognition, and the 3' end, to which the tRNAs corresponding amino acid is attached (by aminoacyl-tRNA synthetases). tRNAs cope with the degeneracy of the genetic code in two manners: having more than one tRNA (with a specific anti-codon) for a particular amino acid; and 'wobble' base-pairing, i.e. permitting non-standard base-pairing at the 3rd anti-codon position.
Source: Rfam by way of RNAcentral
GGGGUUGUGGCUCAGUGGUAGAGCGCUCACCUAGCAAGUGUGAGGCACUGGGUUCCAUCCUCAGCACCA